GUGAUGUCCCAUUGACGAAAUAUGUUAUAAGUGAUGUCACCUGGAACAUUAUAUCAUUUAUUAAUUGUUUCAUGACGACGUUUUACCAAAAUUGUAUGUCCAAAGUAAAUUAUUAUAAAGAAGAUGACCUCCUUACUAGUCCUAUAGAAAAUGAUGUUGAUUAAUAUAUUGCAAACAGUUACUUAAAGAAUGUUGGUGAGGCAAAUUCCCUUGAUAUACUUGUCCUUUUUAAUGAUACCUUUUUUUUCACUGUUGUACCAACAAAAGAAGAGUACAAAGGACAUUUAAGUUUUAAUUCACAGUUAAUUAUUUCUUUUUCCCCAAUUAAAAUGAGAACAAAAUAGUGACAGAGAGACAAGUUAACCGCUAACGUGAAAUCAUCAAGUUAAGUUUUUUGGUGUAAGCUAGUUUACAUUAAUAAUUUUUUCUAAUCAAAUUGGAACUUAGUUCAAAUGUUUGUUAUUGUGUCAGCUUAUUUAACUAGAUACCAGUGUAGGGUUUAGGUGCGGAAAUUGCUAUGUAAUAAUCAUGUUAAUUUGUUGAAUAAGUUACAAGUAGUUCAAAUGAAGAGAGAGUUGUUCACGUCAGCUUGAAACUUAAUUAAGUUCAAUUUUAAAGAUCGAUUUUAAGAAUACAUACCUUAUUUGGGUUUGUGACAAUAUUUUGGGUUUCAUUAAACAUUCAAAUGUAGUAAAACGGGCGAGUAUUCAUAUUCAACAGACA
RNAcentral lists this long non-coding RNA (723 nucleotides) under Mytilus galloprovincialis (Mediterranean mussel). Lineage: Eukaryota; Metazoa; Mollusca; Bivalvia; Mytilida; Mytilidae. The record is from RNAcentral.